RNAcentral lists this ribosomal RNA (253 nucleotides) under uncultured bacterium. RNAcentral describes it as "partial 16S ribosomal RNA". It matches the Rfam family "Bacterial small subunit ribosomal RNA", at positions 524 to 776 of the family's 1533-position model. The record is from RNAcentral.
UACAGAGGGGGCAAGCGUUGUUCGGAAUUACUGGGCGUAAAGGGCGCGUAGGCGGCCGCCUAAGUCAGACGUGAAAUCCCUCGGCUCAACCGGGGAACUGCGUCUGAUACUGGGUGGCUUGAAUCCGGGAGAGGGAUGCGGAAUUCCAGGUGUAGCGGUGAAAUGCGUAGAUAUCUGGAGGAACACCGGUGGCGAAGGCGGCAUCCUGGACCGACACUGACGCUGAGGAGCGAAAGCCAGGGGAGCAAACGGG